Molecule: long non-coding RNA, 929 nt
Filed under: Olea europaea (common olive)
Lineage: Eukaryota; Viridiplantae; Streptophyta; Magnoliopsida; Lamiales; Oleaceae
Description: long non-coding RNA (OEUR_LNC001931)
Source: RNAcentral
UUUUAGUUUGCUUAAACUGUAUUUUCAUGUAAUUCCUUAUAAAUAAAGGGUUAAUUCAUUUUUUUUAUCAUCUUACAUCAAUAAAAUUUCAUGAGUUUAUUUUCUUCGUAAUUUGGUGGAUUCCAAAAUUAUGUUUCUAAGGUUUUUGCUUGAAUCCUUUGUUUCACGCAGUGUCAAUUGAAAACCAAAACAGUAGACUGGGGAGAGAGCUUGUUGACCUGAGAGCGAGAUCCGAGAUUGUUCUUUGCUUGUUGGUGUAUUCAGGUACAGACCUAAAAACUUUUUUCAGUGCGGACAAUAUUAAUAUACGUGAAAAAAUAACAACAUUAUAAUACAAUCAUUAUACUAAAAAUGAAAUACCUUAUAAUUGUUCUUUACUAUUUUUCAUACUUUUGCUAUAUUUGUACAAUCACUUCAUUAUCAAAAUAGAUAGAAAGUUGUGCAACAUCAAAAUCGUCUCUAUUUGACAUCUCCACAUCAACGUUUUCCACAUCCUCAAGAGAUUUUCUUUUAUAAAAUAUUUCCAUGACUAUUUUCACUAUGAAAUAAACAAGAGUUAAUUUAAGAUGUGCCAUAUCAUAGAAGAACAUCCAAUACAUACAAUAGAAUUAGGCAAGAACGAAGCAAAGAAGCAAAAUAAUCCAAACAAUUCAAAUCCACUGCCCACAUAUUCAUAUCAUAUAGGAAAAUAAUCUAAAACUAAUUUAUAUCAUACCAGAUUCAUAUCAAAGAAGUAAAAUAAUCCAAAACCAAUCCAAAAAUUAUAUUCCCUGGGAAAAUAAUUCUUUACAAUAAUAUGUAAUAAAUCGUAAAGAAGCAAAACUCUGAACCGCACCGUCAAAUCCCUUUAUAGUUUCUCACACAACAAUCCAAACACACAGUUUUAUAGCAUAUAUAUGAAAUUUCAAAAAAUUACCUGCUUCCAAAUU